AACGAACGCUGGCGGCAUGCCUAACACAUGCAAGUCGAACGAAGGCUUCGGCCUUAGUGGCGCACGGGUGCGUAACGCGUGGGAAUCUGCCCCUCGGUUCGGAAUAACAGUUAGAAAUGACUGCUAAUACCGGGUGAUGACUUCGGUCCAAAGAUUUAUCGCCGAGGGAUGAGCCCGCGUAAGAUUAGGUAGUUGGUGGGGUAAAGGCCUACCAAGCCGACGAUCUUUAGCUGGUCUGAGAGGAUGAUCAGCCACACUGGGACUGAGACACGGCCCAGACUCCUACGGGAGGCAGCAUUGGGGAAUAUUGGACAAUGGGCGAAAGCCUGAUCCAGCAAUGCCGCGUGAGUGAUGAAGGCCUUAGGGUUGUAAAGCUCUUUUACCAGGGAUGAUAAUGACAGUACCUGGAGAAUAAGCUCCGGCUAACUCCGUGCCAGCAGCCGCGGUAA
RNAcentral lists this ribosomal RNA (449 nucleotides) under uncultured bacterium. RNAcentral describes it as "partial 16S ribosomal RNA". It matches the Rfam family "Bacterial small subunit ribosomal RNA", at positions 29 to 523 of the family's 1533-position model. The record is from RNAcentral.